UACGUAGGGGGCAAGCGUUGUCCGGAAUCAUUGGGCGUAAAGAGCGUGUAGGCGGCUCGGUAAGUCCGCUCUGAAAGCCCGGGGCUCAACCCCGGGAGGCGGGCGGAUACUGUCGGGCUAGAGUCCGGAAGAGGCGAGUGGAAUUCCUGGUGUAGCGGUGAAAUGCGCAGAUAUCAGGAGGAACACCGGUGGCGAAGGCGGAUCUCUGGGCCAUUACUGACGCUGAGGAGCGAAAGCGUGGGGAGCGAACAGG
This 253-nucleotide ribosomal RNA is filed under the name uncultured bacterium. RNAcentral describes it as "partial 16S ribosomal RNA". It matches the Rfam family "Bacterial small subunit ribosomal RNA", at positions 524 to 776 of the family's 1533-position model. The record is from RNAcentral.